UGAGCGGGAGAGCUCAAAUUUGUAAUCUGGCACUUUCAGUGUCCGAGUUGUAAUCUCGAGAAGUAUUUUCCGCGCCGGACCGCAUACAAGUCUGUUGGAAUACAGCGUCAUAGUGGUGAGAACCCCGUAACUGAUGCGGAUGCCCGGUGCUUUGUGAUAUACUUUCGAAGAGUCGAGUUGUUUGGGAAUGCAGCUCAAAUUGGGUGGUAAAUUCCAUCUAAAGCUAAAUAUUGGAGCAAGACCGAUAGCGAACAAGUACCGUGAGGGAAAGAUGAAAAGCACUUUGGAAAGAGAGUUAACAGUACGUGAAAU
RNAcentral lists this ribosomal RNA (312 nucleotides) under Leucosporidium sp. RNAcentral's name for it is "partial large subunit ribosomal RNA". It matches the Rfam family "Eukaryotic large subunit ribosomal RNA", at positions 94 to 405 of the family's 3401-position model. Lineage: Eukaryota; Fungi; Basidiomycota; Microbotryomycetes; Leucosporidiales; Leucosporidiaceae. The record is from RNAcentral.